This 1320-nucleotide ribosomal RNA is filed under the name Triticum aestivum (bread wheat). Its description in RNAcentral is "partial small subunit ribosomal RNA". The record is from RNAcentral. Lineage: Eukaryota; Viridiplantae; Streptophyta; Magnoliopsida; Poales; Poaceae.
AUGGUCGCCGCCGCCGCCGCCCGCCGCAAGCGCUCCCGCCUGGCGCCGCGGUCGCCGGCGGCGACGGCGCGCCCCCGCCCGCCGCCGCCGCAGCUGACGGCGCUCCUGGCGCAGCUGGCCACGUCGGUCUCCCUGGCGCUGCGCUUCGCGUCGGACAAGGACCUGCUGCUCCGCCCCUCCCAGGCGCUGGCGCUCGACCCGCUGCUGCUCGCCGCGGCGCGGGCCGUGUCGCGGCUCCUGGCGCUGCUCCCGCUCCACCUCCAGACCAUCACGCUCACCUCGCUCUCGCUCUCCCCGCCCACGCCGCCGCCCUCGCUGCCCUCCUCCUGGUUCCUCCGCCUCGUCUCCGCCUCCCCCGCGCUCCCGGACUCCGCCUGGCGCGACGCCUUCCGCAUGUCCCGCCCGGCCUUCUACGCGCUCCUCCGCUCCCUCGCGCUCCCCGACCCCGCCGCCGCAUCCUCCUCCCUCGCGCUGCCGGCCGACCACAAGCUCGGCGCCGCGCUCUACCGCCUCGCGCACGCCGCCCCGGCCCGCGCCGUGGCGCGCCGCUUCGGCCUCCCUUCCCCGGCCGCCGCGGCGCAAGCCUUCUACGAGGUCUGCCGCGCCGUCGCCGACCGCCUCGCCGCCCUGCUCGACCUCGCCGCGCCCGACCGCAUCUCCCGCGCCGUCCCGGGCUUCUGCGCGCUCUCCCUCCCCAACUGCUGCGGCGCGCUCGGCUACGCGCGCUUCGGGGGCGCCGCGGUCACCGCGCAGGCCCUGGUCGACGCCGAGGGCCGCUUCCUCGACGUCUCCGUCGGCUGGGACCCGGCCGAGGCGCCGCCGGAGGUCCUCCCGCGGACCAAGCUCUACACCUCGCAGUCGCUCGUGCUCGCCAACGCGCCCCACGGCGAGCUCAUCGGCGGCUCCGUGCCGCGCUACUUCCUCGCGCCCGCCUGCUGCCCGCUGCUCCCCUGGCUCGUCACGCCCUACAGGGACGCCGGCGCCACGGACGGUGCGUCCAAGGAGCGCAUCUUCAACAACGUGCACGCGCAGGGGGCGCGGCUGGUGAGGAGCGCGUUCGGCCGCGUGCGCGCGCGGUGGCAGCUGCUCGAGGAGUGCUGGAAGGGCGAGUGCCAGGAGGCGCUGCCGUACGUCGUGGUCGCCGGCUGCCUGCUGCACAACUUUCUCAUCAAGUGCGGCGAGCCGAUGCCCGACGCGGCGGCUCCGGCGGACGCCGGCGCCGACGCGUUUGAGGACUUCGAGGGGGAGAAUGACAAGGAAGGGGAGAGGAUCCGGGAUGUUCUUGCCGUGCAUUUGAGCUUGGUGAGCCGUACCCAGUGA